This 242-nucleotide ribosomal RNA is filed under the name uncultured bacterium. RNAcentral describes it as "partial 16S ribosomal RNA". It matches the Rfam family "Bacterial small subunit ribosomal RNA", at positions 1243 to 1500 of the family's 1533-position model. The record is from RNAcentral.
UGCGAAGCGAAGCAGCGAUGUGAAGCAAAUCGCACCAAAGCCGGUCCCAGUUCGGAUAAGAGGCUGAAACUCGCCUCUUUGAAGUCGGAAUCGCUAGUAAUCGCAGAUCAGCAUGUUGCGGUGAAUACGUUUCCUGGUCUUGUACACACCGCCCGUCAAACCAUGAGAGUCGCCAACACCCGAAGUCCGCUUUGCGGCCUAAGGUGGGGGAGAUGAUUGGGGUUAAGUCGUAACAAGGUACC